ACUCGAGUGGCGAACGGGUGAGUAACACGUGGGUGAUCUGCCCUGCACUUCGGGAUAAGCCUGGGAAACUGGGUCUAAUACCGGAUAGGAGCCAUUUUUAGUGUGAUGGUGGAAAGUUUUUCGGUGUAGGAUGAGCUCGCGGCCUAUCAGCUUGUUGGUGGGGUAAUGGCCUACCAAGGCGGCGACGGGUAGCCGGCCUGAGAGGGUGGACGGCCACAUUGGGACUGAGAUACGGCCCAG
Molecule: ribosomal RNA, 240 nt
Filed under: uncultured Actinomycetales bacterium
Lineage: Bacteria; Bacillati; Actinomycetota; Actinomycetes; Actinomycetales
Description: partial 16S ribosomal RNA
Rfam family: Bacterial small subunit ribosomal RNA
Source: RNAcentral